This 336-nucleotide RNase P RNA is filed under the name human gut metagenome. RNAcentral describes it as "Bacterial RNase P class B". It matches the Rfam family "Bacterial RNase P class B". From Rfam's summary of the family: Ribonuclease P (RNase P) is a ubiquitous endoribonuclease, found in archaea, bacteria and eukarya as well as chloroplasts and mitochondria. Its best characterised activity is the generation of mature 5'-ends of tRNAs by cleaving the 5'-leader elements of precursor-tRNAs. The record is from RNAcentral. RNAcentral also lists the same sequence under 1 other name.
CUUGACAAACGCUGCUUAUUUUUAUAAGUAGAGGAAAGUCCAUGCUCACACUAUCUGUGAUGAUAGUAGUGUUCGCGCAUUGGGAAAAAAUAACCAAUGGUAGUUUUUACUAACGGCGUUGAAGUAACCUAAGUUUUUAAUAUGGUUAUUGUAAACAUAAAGUGCCAAAGAGACGAUUAAUCCAGAAAUGGAGGAAGUGGAACGUGGUAAACCCCGCGAGUGAGAAACCCAAAUUAUGGUAGGGGAACCCGAUUGAGAAGAAACGAAUUCUCUAGGGAUCGAUAUUCGAUAGAUAAAUGUUUGUCGCUUCAAUGAAGUACAGAACAUGGCUUAUAA